AGAGUUUGAUCCUGGCUCAGGAUGAACGCUGGCGGUAUGCUUAACACAUGCAAGUCGAACGAGAGUUUUUAACUCUAGUGGCGAACGGGUGCGUAAUACGUGAGAAUCUGCCCUUAGGAGAAGAAUAACUACUGGAAACGGUAGCUAAGUCUUCAUAUGCCGAGAGGUGAAAUAGUUUCAACUGCCUAUGGAUGAGCUCACGCCUGAUUAGCUAGUUGGUGAGGUAAUGGCUUACCAAGGCCACGAUCAGUAGCUGGUUUGAGAGAACGAUCAGCCACACUGGGACUGAGACACGGCCCAGACUCCUCCGGGAGGCAGCAGUGAGGAAUUUUCCGCAAUGGGCGAAAGCCUGACGGAGCAAUACCGCGUGAGGGAUGAAGGAUCUUGGUCUGUAAACCUCUUUUCUCAAGAAAGAAGUUCUGACGGUACUUGAGGAAUAAGCAUCGGCUAACUCCGUGCCAGCAGCCGCGGUAAUACGGGGGAUGCAAGCGUUAUCCGGAAUCAUUGGGCGUAAAGCGCCUGUAGGUUGUUUAAUAAGUCUGUUGUUAAAGACUAGGGCUUAACCCUAGAAAAGCAAUGGAAACUACUAGACUUGAGUACGGCAGGGGUAGAGGGAAUU
RNAcentral lists this ribosomal RNA (619 nucleotides) under uncultured Crater Lake bacterium CL120-48. RNAcentral's name for it is "bacterial SSU rRNA". It matches the Rfam family "Bacterial small subunit ribosomal RNA", at positions 8 to 668 of the family's 1533-position model. The record is from RNAcentral.